UAAAAAACAUUGGCAACCGAG
RNAcentral lists this non-coding RNA (21 nucleotides) under Arabidopsis thaliana (thale cress). The record is from RNAcentral. Lineage: Eukaryota; Viridiplantae; Streptophyta; Magnoliopsida; Brassicales; Brassicaceae.